Molecule: transfer RNA, 73 nt
Filed under: Perca fluviatilis (European perch)
Lineage: Eukaryota; Metazoa; Chordata; Actinopteri; Perciformes; Percidae
Also listed under: 1 other name
Rfam family: tRNA
About the family: Transfer RNA (tRNA) molecules are approximately 80 nucleotides in length. Their secondary structure includes four short double-helical elements and three loops (D, anti-codon, and T loops). Further hydrogen bonds mediate the characteristic L-shaped molecular structure. tRNAs have two regions of fundamental functional importance: the anti-codon, which is responsible for specific mRNA codon recognition, and the 3' end, to which the tRNAs corresponding amino acid is attached (by aminoacyl-tRNA synthetases). tRNAs cope with the degeneracy of the genetic code in two manners: having more than one tRNA (with a specific anti-codon) for a particular amino acid; and 'wobble' base-pairing, i.e. permitting non-standard base-pairing at the 3rd anti-codon position.
Source: Rfam by way of RNAcentral
GUUUCCGUAGUGUAGUGGUUAUCACGUUUGCCUAACAUGCAAAAGGUCCCCUGUUCGAAACAGGGCGGAAACA